Raphanus sativus (radish) is the source of this 1838-nucleotide long non-coding RNA. RefSeq lists it as uncharacterized. The transcript has 6 exons. The record is from RefSeq and is a predicted model, not a curated record. Lineage: Eukaryota; Viridiplantae; Streptophyta; Magnoliopsida; Brassicales; Brassicaceae.
CAAAGAACAAUUGAACAACACAAGAUUUGUUCACUCGGUGUUCGCUGAUCUACUCACUGGGAGGGAACGGCAUCCCUCAACUGAUCACUAUCAACUCAAGCUUAUACAGAGUACAACAAUGGCGAAUCAAUCGCUUACAACAACGAAAAAUGAAGACAGAGUAGCUCACUUGCGAAUCCUCUAUGACGCCGGUAAACCACCGCUGGAAUGGUUCGAUCUCAACCGUGUACCGCUUUCGUGGCUCCGUCGAUGUCAACCUAUCGACUUGAGCUAAGUUCUCCCUAUCUCUUCUUCGUUCUCUGUAUCUCUUGAGCUGUGAUCUCUCUCUCGUCGUUGUGACGAUGAGAUCUGAUGAGUUUGUUAUAACAACCUCAUCCACUUGUCGUUUUCCCUGAAAUGCUGCGUUUCAUUUUAGCAUUCACAAAUGCUCUUGGGCUGAGACUAGGGCUUCUCUUCUUUCUUGCAGGUUGGUGACGAUAUGGGCUGUGAAUCGCGAAGCCCGGUUUUGGUGUUUGACUGAACCAGACUAACCGAAAUUCACAAUCUCCACCUUUCAGACAGAACACCGAAAUAUUGUCUCUCUCUUCUCGAACCCUAGCCUCUUGUCUCUCUGAGGCGAUCCAUCGCCUCCUCUCGUCACCGACGCUUAUCGACGACUUCAGGAGCAACCCUUUGCUCUCGUGAUGACAGAGAGCCUCUACGGAUGUAAGAUCAAGAUGAACGAUGCUUCAAUCUCUGACCAGACCUAUCGGCUAGACUCAGAGGAUGAACCGACGAACUGUUGACGACUCUGCAUGAAUCUGAUCUGAGUCAGACUGUUCCAAAAUCAACUGUCAGACUUCAAAUCUUCAGACUUUCCGUGACAUUGAACCCAGAUAAGUAACCACUGACUUCUCUCCCUUUCGAUGAACACUGAACCUUUCAAGAUAAAUUGACACUGAUGAUGAAAACUCUUACUAACUCUGAUCUUCUUUCUGUUUCAGGAACCUUGAAGAGACUCCACCUGAAACUGAACUCCACCUGAGAAGAAACUCCACCUCGCUUCCUAUACUCGGGUAACGACUUCUCUCUUUUCACUUCAAGUUGGUUUGAUAUCAGCGAGUUUAGUAACAACAUCGUUACCCGGAGCCGCUUCCUUCUCAGAACAGAUUCACCAGCUCAGAGCAGAGUCUGAACUUCGGACCAGGUUGGUGACGAUAUGGGCUGUGAAUCGCGAAGCCCGGUUUUGGUGUUUGACUGAACCAGACUAACCGAAAUUCACACUUCAUUCCAUUGCCAAAGCUUCUGUUGUUGAUACCAACAUAUUUAACUUUACUACUCCAUAUGCUAUCAGGAUAAAUCUACAGGUCAUGUGACUAAAGAGGACCUCGGGAGGUCUACAUGGACAUUUCUAGACACACUUGCUGCCCAGAUGGCAAUACUUUCUCGGAUGUACCCUUGUAGAGAAUGUGCUGAUCACUUCAAAGAAAUCCUAAGAUCAAAUCCACACAACCUGGCUCUCAGGAAGAGUUCUCGCAGUGGCUUUGCCAUGUACACAACACCGUAAAUAGAAGUUUGGGGAAGUUGGUGUUCCCUUGCGAGAGAGUGGAUGCAAGAUGGGGCAAGUUAUAGAGUGCAAUCAGAAAAGUUGUGAUCUUCAUGGAACUUCUAUGGACUUCUAGACAUCAUCUUAUAUUUUUACGAAAUUACGAUCCAUUUUAUUUACUUCUUCUCAGCAAAGUAAAAUUUGUAAUUGGUAAUUUUAUUAAAAAAAUUAGUUUACUAAUAGAAUAACAUGAAAAAUCACGGAUGAUGUUGAAAACAGCUGAAGUAAUCAUGUUUUUUAGACUUCAAAAUUU